UACGAAGGUGGCAAGCGUUGUUCGGAUUUACUGGGCGUACAGGGAGCGUAGGCGGUUUGGUAAGCCCUCCGUAAAAUCUUCGGGCUCAACCCGGAAAGUUCAGAGGGGACUGCCAGGCUAGAGGACGGGAGAGGAGCGCGGAAUUCCCGGUGUAGCGGUGAAAUGCGUAGAGAUCGGGAGGAAGGCCGGUGGCGAAGGCGGCGCUCUGGAACGUUUCUGACGCUGAGGCUCGAAAGCGUGGGGAGCAAACAGG
This 253-nucleotide ribosomal RNA is filed under the name uncultured bacterium. Its description in RNAcentral is "partial 16S ribosomal RNA". It matches the Rfam family "Bacterial small subunit ribosomal RNA", at positions 524 to 776 of the family's 1533-position model. The record is from RNAcentral.